CUAGUAACGGCGAGUGAAGCGGCAACAGCUCAAAUUUGAAAUCUGGCCCUAGCGGUCCGAGUUGUAAUUUGCAGAGGAUGCUAUGGGCGCGGCGCCUUCCGAGUUCCCUGGAACGGGACGCCGUAGAGGGUGAGAGCCCCGUACGGUUGGAUGCUUAGCCUAUGUAUAGCUCCUUCGACGAGUCGAGUAGUUUGGGAAUGCUGCUCUAAGUGGGAGGUAAAUUUCUUCUAAAGCUAAAUAUUGGCCAGAGACCGAUAGCGCACAAGUAGAGUGAUCGAAAGAUGAAAAGCACUUUGAAAAGAGGGUUAAAUAGCACGUGAAAUUGUUGAAAGGGAAGCGUUUACGACCAGACUUUUUCCUGGCGGAUCAUCCGGCGUUUUCGCUGGUGCACUCCGCCUGGUUUAGGCCAGCAUCGGUUUUCUUAGGGGGAUAAAGGCCUGGGGAACGUAGCUCUUUAGGGAGUGUUAUAGCCCCGGGCGCAAUACCCUUCGGGGGACCGAGGACCGCG
RNAcentral lists this ribosomal RNA (508 nucleotides) under Xylariaceae sp. ZW-WC-2012. Its description in RNAcentral is "eukaryotic LSU rRNA". It matches the Rfam family "Eukaryotic large subunit ribosomal RNA", at positions 80 to 597 of the family's 3401-position model. Lineage: Eukaryota; Fungi; Ascomycota; Sordariomycetes; Xylariales; Xylariaceae. The record is from RNAcentral.